AACAAAUUGAAUUAAAGUAUACAAGGAAGUGUUUCCAGAGAAUUUAAGAUCCAGAGCCGCCUCUCUCCUCAGCUUGCUGUUCAUGUUUUCUCAGUAUGACAAAGAAAGUAUAGGAGAGAUGAAGAACAUGAUGUCCUGCAUGAUCCAUAGGAAGCUCUUUGUGCAGGCCAUGUGGGGCCUCAGAGAUGGCUGGACCUGGGGACAGGGAAUGAAGAGAAGAGAGUGGUCUUGCCCCUGAAAUGGAGGCAGAAAAUUAUGUUCACUAGAGAGUUUUAAACCAUUCCCUUUGUUGCUAUUGAUUUGGACUGUGUGAUUCUUGGAGAUACUGUAGAAUGCCACCAAAAGCCAGUGACUAAGGCAACAAGUCCCACCAGUUGAAAUGACCCUUAAAUGAAAGCCCUAAGGAGAUCCGCCUCACACCUAGUUGGUCUCUCCUCUGGGAACAGCAUACUAGUUCCCUGGGACAAGCACUUGAUGCAACGUUUAUCUUACAUCAAGAGAUAAUGUGCAGAGAAAGUACACCUUUAGCACAGCUCCACAUGGCACAGCCAGAUGCCAACUGAAGAUGGACAGGUGACAGAGUCCCUGGGAGAAGUCAUAUUAGCCACAUCUCUCCCUUACCAUCACC
RNAcentral lists this long non-coding RNA (628 nucleotides) under Mus pahari (shrew mouse). RNAcentral describes it as "predicted gene 29168 (MGP_PahariEiJ_G0004871.1)". The record is from RNAcentral. Lineage: Eukaryota; Metazoa; Chordata; Mammalia; Rodentia; Muridae.